Molecule: ribosomal RNA, 170 nt
Filed under: uncultured eukaryote
Lineage: Eukaryota
Description: partial small subunit ribosomal RNA
Source: RNAcentral
GUACACACCGCCCGUCGCUACUACCGAUUGAAUGGUUUAGCAAGGUCAUUGGAUUGGUGCCAGUGGCUGUUUCUGACAGCCGAUGGUACCGAGAAGACGACCGAACUUGAUCAUUUAGAGGAAGUAAAAGUCGUAACAAGGUYUYCGUAGGUGAACCUGCAGAAGGAUCA